GAUGAAGAACGCAGCGAAAUGCGAUAAGUAAUGUGAAUUGCAGAAUUCAGUGAAUCAUCGAAUCUUUGAACGCACAUUGCGCCCCCUGGUAUUCCGGGGGGCAUGCCUGUUCGAGCGUCAUUUCACCACUCAGGCCUCGCUUGGUAUUGGGCAACGCGGUCCGCCGCGUGCCUCAAAUCGUCCGGCUGGGUCUUCUGUCCCCUAAGCGUUGUGGAAACUAUUCGCUAAAGGGUGUUCGGGAGGCUACGCCGUAAAACAACCCCAUUUCUAAGGUUGACCUCGGAUCAGGUAGGGAUACCCGCUGAACUUAAGCAUAUCAAUAAGCGGAGGA
This 331-nucleotide unclassified non-coding RNA is filed under the name soil metagenome. Its description in RNAcentral is "partial contains 5.8S ribosomal RNA, internal transcribed spacer 2, and large subunit ribosomal RNA". The stretch from base 1 to 120 matches the Rfam family "5.8S ribosomal RNA", at positions 35 to 154 of the family's 154-position model. The record is from RNAcentral.